CGGCAACAGCUCAAAUUUGAAACCUGGCGCAAGCCCGGAUUGUAAUUUGCAGAGGAUGCUUCUAGGCAGCGGCCGUUCUAAGUUCCUUGGAACAGGACGUCAUAGAGGGUGAGAAUCCCGUAUGUGACCGGCCCGCACCUUCUACGUAGCUCCUUCGAC
RNAcentral lists this ribosomal RNA (159 nucleotides) under Verrucisporota sp. Its description in RNAcentral is "partial large subunit ribosomal RNA". It matches the Rfam family "Eukaryotic large subunit ribosomal RNA", at positions 99 to 261 of the family's 3401-position model. The record is from RNAcentral. Lineage: Eukaryota; Fungi; Ascomycota; Dothideomycetes; Mycosphaerellales; Mycosphaerellaceae.